This 253-nucleotide ribosomal RNA is filed under the name uncultured bacterium. RNAcentral's name for it is "partial 16S ribosomal RNA". It matches the Rfam family "Bacterial small subunit ribosomal RNA", at positions 524 to 776 of the family's 1533-position model. The record is from RNAcentral.
UACGUAGGGGGCAAGCGUUGUCCGGAUUUAUUGGGCGUAAAGAGCGUGUAGGCGGCCAAGCAGGUCCGCUGUGAAAACUCGAGGCUCAACCUCGAGACGUCGGUGGAAACCAUCUGGCUAGAGUCCGGAAGAGGAGAAUGGAAUUCCCGGUGUAGCGGUGAAAUGCGCAGAUAUCGGGAAGAACACCCGUGGCGAAGGCGGUUCUCUGGGACGGUACUGACGCUGAGACGCGAAAGCGUGGGGAGCGAACAGG